AGAGUUUGAUCCUGGCUCAGGAUGAACGCUAGCGGCAGGCUUAAUACAUGCAAGACGAACGGUAAGUAGUGUAGCAAUACAUUGCCUAGAGCGUCGUACGGGUGCGUAACACGUAUGCAACCUACCUUGUACAGGGGUAUAGCUCGGGGAAACUCGAAUUUACCCCCCAUAAUAUAGUGGAGUGGCAUCACACUACUAUUAAAACUUCGGUGGUACAAGAUGGGCAUGCGUUUGAUUAGUUAGUUGGCAGUGUAAUGGACUACCAAGACGAUGAUCAAUAGGGGACCUGAGAGGGUGAUCCCCCACACUGGCACUGAGAUACGGGCCAGACUCCUACGGGAGGCAGCAGUAGGGAAUAUUGGACAAUGGGUGAGAGCCUGAUCCAGCCAUGCCGCGUGCAG
Molecule: ribosomal RNA, 401 nt
Filed under: uncultured bacterium
Lineage: Bacteria
Description: bacterial SSU rRNA
Rfam family: Bacterial small subunit ribosomal RNA
Source: RNAcentral